RNAcentral lists this ribosomal RNA (270 nucleotides) under Limosilactobacillus fermentum. Its description in RNAcentral is "Lactobacillus fermentum partial 16S ribosomal RNA". It matches the Rfam family "Bacterial small subunit ribosomal RNA", at positions 370 to 632 of the family's 1533-position model. Lineage: Bacteria; Bacillati; Bacillota; Bacilli; Lactobacillales; Lactobacillaceae. The record is from RNAcentral.
AAUGGGCGCAAGCCUGAUGGAGCAACACCGCGUGAGUGAAGAAGGGUUUCGGCUCGUAAAGCUCUGUUGUUAAAGAAGAACACGUAUGAGAGUAACUGUUCAUACGUUGACGGUAUUUAACCAGAAAGUCACGGCUAACUACGUGCCAGCAGCCGCGGUAAUACGUAGGUGGCAAGCGUUAUCCGGAUUUAUUGGGCGUAAAGAGAGUGCAGGCGGUUUUCUAAGUCUGAUGUGAAAGCCUUCGGCUUAACCGGAGAAGUGCAUCGGAAA